GCAUCUGAAGCUUCUUUUUCUUUUCUUUUCUUUUCUUUUCUUUUCUUUGCUCCUGAUUCUCUUAAAUAUAGGGCUUCAGUAUUAGAGAUGGAAAAAAAAAAAGUUUUAAGAGUUGGUUUAGUGUUGUGAAGAAUCUAAGACAGUUGUUUCAGUGCACCAAUUUCAUUGAUAGGUUGGGCUAGAGUUUGUAUCUGUGUUCUCUCUCUUGAAAACAAGAUUUUGUUCUUUUGCUUGUUUUAUUUAAUCAUACCCUUAAUUUUUGGGUACCAAGUUUUGCUUUUUUAGGUGCCUUUGCACUCAGGACACUUUGAUUAAGACGCAUGUGACAACUGUAAGGAAAAAUUGGAAGAGUGUGUAAGCUUUGAAGGCAGCCCUGCGUCUUCCCUUCUGAUAAUACCAGGGCUGCUGUUUGUUAGUCGUACAAGCAUCUUCCCAAAUGAAGUAACUAUUUUGAGUAGUAAAUUUUGACACGUACAACUCAAAUUUGACAUGAAAGUUGCAGGUUUUCAGGUUGAUCAUGGUCGAUCAAACUGAAAUGUAACCAUCUGUUAAUAGAAACCACAAAGUACUCUUGAGUUAGAGUCAUGCAUGCAUACGCAAUUAAGUUUGUAUUGAUUACUAUUAUGAAUACAAUGUUGGAUUAAGUGUUUAUAUAUCAACACUAUUAUGGUCUAAACUGAGAAGUAUCUUGUGAUUUAGGACUCUAGGAAUGAGAGCUAUAACUGUCGUAUUAAGCUCCUGGAAACAUACAAUUCCCAGAAAGAAUUCCAAGGCUGUACUAGGUGACCUUGCCAUUAAAAAUUUCCCGGAACCUGAAACCAUCUGGACCUGGUGAUUUAAGGGACCACAUUUGAAAAGCUUCUUCCUUGAUCUCUGAACAGAAAUGUUAGAUCCCUGUUCAUCUCUUCAGUUCCCAUUUGGAAUAAUACCACUAAUAGUAAGUAUACCACUUAUAGUAAGAACUAAGAAAAUUUCUUGUAUUGGCUAUCAAAUUCCAGUAGGAUCAAUCUUCACCGCAAACCCAGUUGCCAUUGUCACCUGCAAUAUUGAAAAUUCUAUUUCUAUAUGCAGUGAAUAAUGGUGAGGUGGGAAGGUAUGACCAGCAUUGAGCCAGCGGUCUCAGAUCUCUGGUGCCAAAAAAUUUCCUCCAGGCUCCUGUAGAACAAUUUGGCCAUGAAAAGUUCUGUCCUUUAGACCUGGGAUUGGAAAGCUUGUUGAAGGACUAUGACAUCAAUGGUGAUUAGUAUAUUUAGCAUCUACUUCUUUCUAACUGUCAAAGAAGUUCAUGAAAGUCCCCAAUACAUAACCAAGAAAUACCAUCACUCCAAUUACUUCCAAAAAAAAAACUCUAACCGUUGGUAACCCAAUACAUCAACUUCGUGUAAUAGCAGAGGCAGCAAUUUUUCUAUAUCAUUGACAAUCUCCACUUUUACAUCUGGACACCACCAAAGGCAAGCCAGCCUCUAGACACAAUGGUUCAAUGUUGAACCGAUUGUAAUAGCUGAACUGCAUCAACUAAAUUUUAGGCAGCUUUUGUUGGUUUGAGGAUUGGGAGAGUAUGUGCAUGACUGUGUGGCCAAGUCCUUUGUCUUACUCCUAGGAUGUUGAAAAUUUGAACUACAUUGGGUAAACUCAUUUUUAAGUGGGGCUGUUUUUUUGUGUGGUGAGUACUGGGUUACGGAUAAAUGCAAAGCCGGAAAACAAUGGUGCUCUUCUAUGGUUCUAGGAAGUUGGAACUUAUUUGAAUCAUUUCAUAUCAUUGGAUGCUAUUUAGUUAUAUACUUGUAUAGUAGGACAAUGUUAUUGUGUUGAGUGAAAAAGAAACAGGAAAAAGAAGGAUGUGAUGGAGAUUGUUGGUUAUAGUUGAAAAUGGUGGGAGUGGUCAUGGGAUUCUGGAUUGUAUGAGAGAAAAAUAAAGAUGAAUGUCAUAAACUCAUGGUUCACUGUGUUUAGAGAUUGGGUAUUAUUGAAACUGGAGUUUGCAAGUGGUUCAAUGUGUUUAGAGAUUGUUGUCACGGUGGUCGUGGAAGUGAUGACACUGGUGUCGAUGGUGAGACUGCUUGUACCACAGUGUGUUUAAGUAUGAACUAUAGGAGUUUCAUGUGGCUUGUAGUUGUUCCAGAUGUGCUAAUUGAUGAGAGUGAGUGACACUGAGUUGAGCUUCAAGUUUGUGCACUCAGGUUCUCAUAGUCUUGGACCUGGAUGGGAUAAUUGGCUAUGCCAGUCUGGCGAGACAGAAAGCUACGCGUAGCCAGGGCUUAUGUGAUUUUGCUUGCAUUUGUCAAGCACAUCCAAGAAGAAGGCUCCUAAUGCCAUGAAGGGAGAUUAAAAAGUUCUCCCAGAUAGCCACGGGGACGGACGGCAUUAGUGGAUGUGAAGCUGAACAAGCAACAUCUGGAGAACAAUGAUGAAGCUAUACUCUUUUGUUCCGAGUGUUGUGAGAACAAAAGACUUUGUAUUGUUGUUUUGGUAUUUUGGUGUAUUUUGUUUGCCUAAAGAUUCAGCAUCAGUAAUGUACUUAUGGUUUUAAAUGAUGUGGUCUUUUGGCCUCGUAA
Molecule: long non-coding RNA, 2555 nt
Organism: Rosa rugosa (rugosa rose)
Lineage: Eukaryota; Viridiplantae; Streptophyta; Magnoliopsida; Rosales; Rosaceae
Exons: 2
Source: RefSeq, a predicted model, not a curated record